UCUCCGCCUUCCUCCCACUAUCUUGGCCGCUUUGGGAACACCACCCCCCACCGCAAGGCUCUCUCCCCUCCCCCCGGAUUCCCCCUAGGGGUCCACCCCCCAAUACCUCCCACCUCUUGUGCCCCUAGGUCUGCACUUCCCCGGCGACCAGGUUCCACGCCCACCGGCCUGCCAGCGGCCUGGACGCCAGAGGAAGUUAGCUUGGGGUGCAGGGAGGAGGGGAAGAGGGGAAGCCGGUGCCGUCAGGGUAUGAGGGAAAGCCUGGGUACAGGAGAGGGGGAGGGGACCAGUCUGCAGGACAGGGAAAGGAGAAGGACCCAAGAAGGGAGAGCCCAGAGUGACUGUGCCACUGCAUGAUCCCAACGGCUUUGUAUGACAGUUCCACACCCUCACCAGACCUUGGGGCUGUCUGCAAUCUUCCUUCCAAUGUUGGCCAUGCUGUAUACAGGCCUUCUAUACAUUUUGCUAACUUACCUGAUGCAUCUGUUUGGCCCUCACGAAGAACAGAGGUGGUAAGAGUAAUAUCCUUGCCUUGCCCCUGAUCUCAUGGGAAAUCAUGUGGUCCUUCAACCUUCAGUUUGAUGUAAGCUGUAGGCUUUUGUAGAUAACUUUUCCCCAGUUAAAAUCUAGUUCUGUGUUCUGAGAGUUUUUAUCAUGAAUAGAUGAUGAAUUUUUUCAAAUGUCUUUUUUGUUGUCAUAA
Neogale vison (American mink) is the source of this 700-nucleotide long non-coding RNA. RefSeq lists it as uncharacterized. The record is from RefSeq and is a predicted model, not a curated record. NCBI's taxonomy places the organism in Eukaryota, Metazoa, Chordata, Mammalia, Carnivora, Mustelidae. The transcript has 4 exons.